CACCGCCUGGGGAGUACGACCGCAAGGUUAAAACUCAAAUGAAUUGACGGGGACCCGCACAAGUAGUGGAGCAUGUGGUUUAAUUCGAAGAUACGCGCAGAACCUUACCAACACUUGACAUGUUCGUCGCGACCUUAAGAGAUUAAGGUUUUCGGUUCGGCCGGACGAAACACAGGUGCUGCAUGGCUGUCGUCAGCUCGUGUCGUGAGAUGUUGGGUUAAGUCCCGCAACGAGCGCAACCCUCACUUUUAGUUGCCAUCAUUUAGUUGGGCACUCUGAAAGAACUGCCAGUGAUAAGCUGGAGGAAGGUGGGGAUGACGUCAAGUCCUCAUGGCCCUUACGUGUUGGGCUACACACGUGCUACAAUGGCAUCUACAAUAGGAAGCAAAAUGGCGACAUUGAGCAAAUCCUAAAAAGAUGCCUCAGUUCGGAUUGCACUCUGCAACUCGAGUGCAUGAAGCUGGAAUUACUAGUAAUCGCGGAUCAGCGCGCCGCGGUGAAUACGUUCCCGGGUCUUGUACACACCGCCCGUCACACCAUGGGAGUUGGUUCUACCUUAAGGCAGAGUUUAAAACCUCUGACCACGGUAUAGUCAGCGACUGGGGUGAAGUCGUAACAAGGUAGCCGUAGGGGAACCUGCGGCUGGAUUACCUCCUUUCUAAGGAUGGUUAAGAAAAAUUUCUUAAUCUAAAUAAUUAACAGGUUAAUGUUGACCGUCCUCAUUUCUCUUCUUAAAAGUGUUUCUCUUUACUGAAUAGGGGCCGGUAGCUCAGUUGGUUAGAGCACACCCUUGAUAAGGGUGGGGUCGAAAGUUCGAGUCUUUCUCGGCCCACCAUUUUAUUUGGGGGAUUAGCUCAGCUGGGAGAGCGCCUGAUUUGCAUUCAGGAGGUCAGCGGUUCGAUCCCGCUAUCCUCCACCAGAAACACUUAGCUAUUAAAAUUGUGAAUAAAUAAAUUAUCAAUAUCUAUAUCCGAUUGUUCGAAAAGAUGAGCAAUCAAGAAUGUUCGAAUAGAUGAACAUUCCAACAAAAUUUGAUUCAACACAGAAUUUUUUUCUG
RNAcentral lists this small RNA (1057 nucleotides) under uncultured Pelagibacterales bacterium. Its description in RNAcentral is "bacterial SSU rRNA". The stretch from base 1 to 658 matches the Rfam family "Bacterial small subunit ribosomal RNA", at positions 867 to 1533 of the family's 1533-position model. Lineage: Bacteria; Pseudomonadati; Pseudomonadota; Alphaproteobacteria; Candidatus Pelagibacterales. The record is from RNAcentral.